CCUACGGGAGGCAGCAGUGAGGAAUAUUGGACAAUGGGCGCAAGCCUGAUCCAGCCAUGCCGCGUGCAGGAAGACGCAUCUAUGGUGUGUAAACUGCUUUUGUACAGGAAGAAACACUCCCUCGUGAGGGAGCUUGACGGUACUGUAAGAAUAAGGAUCGGCUAACUCCGUGCCAGCAGCCGCGGUAAUACGGAGGAUCCAAGCGUUAUCCGGAAUCAUUGGGUUUAAAGGGUCCGUAGGCGGUUUAAUAAGUCAGUGGUGAAAUCUGGUCGCUCAACGAUCAAACGGCCAUUGAUACUGUUAGACUUGAAUUACUAGGAAGUAACUAGAAUAUGUAGUGUAGCGGUGAAAUGCUUAGAUAUUACAUGGAAUACCAAUUGCGAAGGCAGGUUACUACUAGUGGAUUGACGCUGAUGGACGAAAGCGUGGGGAGCGAACAGGAUUAGAUACCCUGGUAGUCCACGCCGUAAACGAUGGAUACUAGCUGUUGGGCGCAAGUUCAGUGGCUAAGCGAAAGUGAUAAGUAUCCCACCUGGGGAGUACGUUCGCAAGAAUGAAACUUAAGGAAUUGACGG
Molecule: ribosomal RNA, 575 nt
Filed under: uncultured bacterium
Lineage: Bacteria
Description: bacterial SSU rRNA
Rfam family: Bacterial small subunit ribosomal RNA
Source: RNAcentral